Molecule: transfer RNA, 84 nt
Filed under: Mustela putorius furo (domestic ferret)
Lineage: Eukaryota; Metazoa; Chordata; Mammalia; Carnivora; Mustelidae
Rfam family: tRNA
About the family: Transfer RNA (tRNA) molecules are approximately 80 nucleotides in length. Their secondary structure includes four short double-helical elements and three loops (D, anti-codon, and T loops). Further hydrogen bonds mediate the characteristic L-shaped molecular structure. tRNAs have two regions of fundamental functional importance: the anti-codon, which is responsible for specific mRNA codon recognition, and the 3' end, to which the tRNAs corresponding amino acid is attached (by aminoacyl-tRNA synthetases). tRNAs cope with the degeneracy of the genetic code in two manners: having more than one tRNA (with a specific anti-codon) for a particular amino acid; and 'wobble' base-pairing, i.e. permitting non-standard base-pairing at the 3rd anti-codon position.
Source: Rfam by way of RNAcentral
GCCUGGGUGGCUCAGUUGGUUAAGCAUCUGCCUUCAGCUCAGGUGAUGAAGCCAGGGUCGUGGGUUCGAGUCCCACAUCGGACU